UCUGGCAGUCUCUGGCUUGUCCGAGUUGUAAACUAGAGAAGUGUUAUCCGCGCUGGACCAUGUAUAAGUCUCCUGGGAUGGAGCGUCACAGAGGGUGAGAAUCCCGUCUUUGACAUGGACCGCCAGGGCAUUGUGAUGCGCUCUCAAAGAGUCGAGUUGUUUGGGAAUGCAGCUCAAAAUGGGUGGUAAAUUCCAUCUAAAGCUAAAUAUUGGCGAGAGACCGAUAGCGAACAAGUACCGUGAGGGAAAGAUGAAAAGAACUUUGGAAAGAGAGUUAAACAGUACGUGAAAUUGUUGAAAGGGAAACGCUUGAAGUCAGUCACAUUGGCUGGAGAUCAACCUUGCUCCUGUGAGGCGUACUCUCUGGCUGAUGGGUCAGCAUCAAUUUUGACUGCCGGAAAAAGGUCAGGGGAAUGUGGCCAUCUCAGGAUGUGUUAUAGCCUUUGAUUGUAUACGGUGGUUGGGAUUGAGGAACUCAGCACGCCGCAAGGGCCGGGUAUCUACCACGUUCGUGCUUAGGAUGCUGGCAUAAUGGCUUUAAUCGACCCGUCUUGAAACACGGACCAAGGAGUCUAACAUGCCUGCGAGUGUUUGGGUGGUAAACCCAUGCGCGCAAUGAAAGUGAAAGUUGAGAUCUCUGUCAUGGAGAGCAUCGACGCCCGGACCAGACCUUCUGUGACGGAUCCGCGGUAGAGCAUGUAUGUUGGGACCCGAAAGAUGGUGAACUAUGCCUGAAUAGGGUGAAGCCAGAGGAAACUCUGGUGGAGGCUCGUAGCGAUUCUGACGUGCAAAUCGAUCGUCGAAUUUGGGUAUA
RNAcentral lists this ribosomal RNA (814 nucleotides) under Pluteus sp. SP393695. Its description in RNAcentral is "LSU rRNA". It matches the Rfam family "Eukaryotic large subunit ribosomal RNA", at positions 121 to 919 of the family's 3401-position model. The record is from RNAcentral. Lineage: Eukaryota; Fungi; Basidiomycota; Agaricomycetes; Agaricales; Pluteaceae.